GCGGGGAUGAGGUGUGGGUAGGGGUGAAAUGCCAAUCGAACCUGGAGAUAGCUGGUUCUCUCCGAAAUAGCUUUAGGGCUAGCCUCAAGGUAAGAGUCUUGGAGGUAGAGCACUGAUUGGACUAGGGCCCUACCGGGUUACCGAAUUCAGUCAAACUCCGAAUGCCAAUGACUUAUCCUUGGGAGUCAGACUGCGAGUGAUAAGAUCCGUAGUCGAAAGGGAAACAGCCCAGACCGCCAGCUAAGGUCCCA
Molecule: ribosomal RNA, 251 nt
Filed under: Bacillus inaquosorum
Lineage: Bacteria; Bacillati; Bacillota; Bacilli; Caryophanales; Bacillaceae
Also listed under: 1 other name
Description: Bacillus subtilis subsp. inaquosorum partial 23S ribosomal RNA
Rfam family: Bacterial large subunit ribosomal RNA
Source: RNAcentral